UCUAUCUAUCCCUAUUACUAAAUCACCAAAGUUUCAGUCUGCCGCAGCAAUCUUCUGCCUCCUCGUCCGCCUCCGUUCCGUGAAGAAAAAAUAAAAUCUUUUUAGAGUUUUCAAUACAAAAUCUUAAAUACACAUCAAAUAAAAAAACUGUAAGGGCCUAGGUGCAAAACCUCCUCUACUUCCGUCCGAAGCGGCAUCCGAACUGGUGGAACCGUUCCCCUAAUGCAAAAUCUUUUGUGCACAUCAAAUAAGAAAGUGUUUGCCCUAUUAGUUUAUUUUUUUUAUUUUUUACGGUUGAAAAUUGAUAAAUACGUAGUAAUUCAUAGAAAAAUUUAAAAAUUAUAAAACAAAUUUUGUUCAGCUCCACAUAUAUUUUUUAUUUUUUACGGUUGAAAAUUGAUAAAUACGUAGUAAUUCAUAGAAAAAUUUAAAAAUUAUAAAACAAAUUUUGUUCAGCUCCACAUAUAUAGAUCCAUGCAGUAAACAAAAAAUCAUAAAUUUUAGUAAACUUUUUUGCUGG
Molecule: long non-coding RNA, 520 nt
Filed under: Sorghum bicolor (sorghum)
Lineage: Eukaryota; Viridiplantae; Streptophyta; Magnoliopsida; Poales; Poaceae
Description: long non-coding RNA (SBIC_LNC018262)
Source: RNAcentral